Molecule: long non-coding RNA, 1125 nt
Organism: Octopus bimaculoides (California two-spot octopus)
Lineage: Eukaryota; Metazoa; Mollusca; Cephalopoda; Octopoda; Octopodidae
Source: RefSeq, a predicted model, not a curated record
UUGAAACACCGUUGGUCAUAGGUGUACUUAAUAAAGGAUGACUUGGUACUUAACCACAAUGAUUAAUUUUUGACAUAGGCACAAGGCCAGAAAUUAGAGGGGAUAAUUGUUAAAUCGUCCCAGCAUUUGAAUAGCACUUCACUUUAUCAACCCCUGACAGGUUGAGUGACAAAGCUAGCCGUUGACUUCAAGGAAUGAGUGGAGAUUUGAAAUCAGAAUUUAAAGAGUCAGAUGAAAUACUGCAAUGCAUUAUCCGUCUCUCUAACGAUUCUGCUAAAUCAUCUAGACAUCAUCCUUAAGGACAUGAGAAGGAAUUAUCAUGUCUUUAGAAGUGUUGCAUUAAAUUCUCUUAAUCGGUACUGCAUGGCCGCAGUCAAAUGACUGAAACAAGUUAGAGAAUAAAAGAAUAGCUCAGUAGCAAGUCAGACUAUCAAAAUACAAGGUAUGAUACAUAAAGUUAAAAGACACCGGAUGUGGUCGAUCAAAUCAACACCAUUACUUUUUCUAUUUGCCACAUUUUGCUGAACGCUGAAGUACAGAGACUACCUGAUGAAAUUGUGUUUUAAAGAGGUCACACAGGAAGAUGAUGUCAACUUCGUCCUUAGAUAAUUUUGUUUCUCUUUUCUUGCAUUUCGUCUUCCCCUCCAACGCUCUUGUAAGAGUUGCCGCCAUCCGGCACAGAUGAUUAACUUUUCUACGGGUCGAAGUGUAGACAGUUCGGGCCUCUAUAAAGGCGAAGUUUUUUUUCUUAUGUCUAAAAGAACUCAGUUAAGUGUGGAAUACAUUUAAAUCUAAGAAGGACUGUCCGAAACUAUAACCAAACCUGCCAUGCAUCAGAAUCCAGAGUAAGAAGACUCAGGAAAAAACGUCCCAGGAGAAAAAAAUCAUAGGGAAAAGUUACUAGCAAUACACAGAACUACAGGGCUAUAACAGCGUUUCUCGUGGAAUACUUGUCUUAGUCAUCAACAUUAAAAAUACUAAAUAUACAUGUAAUGCGAUGGGGUCGAUGAGCACUGGGGUCGAUGUAAUCGACUUACCCGCUCUCCCGAAAUUGCUGGCUUUGUGCCAAACUUUUGAAACCAAUAUGUACAUGUCAUUUAUUGUAAAUAAAUGACUGAAAAUAAA